GUGGGGAAUCUUGCGCAAUGGGCGAAAGCCUGACGCAGCCAUGCCGCGUGAAUGAUGAAGGUCUUAGGAUUGUAAAAUUCUUUCACCGGGGACGAUAAUGACGGUACCCGGAGAAGAAGCCCCGGCUAACUUCGUGCCAGCAGCCGCGGUAAUACGAAGGGGGCUAGCGUUGCUCGGAAUUACUGGGCGUAAAGGGCGCGUAGGCGGACAGUUUAGUCAGAGGUGAAAGGCCAGGGCUCAACCUUGGAAUUGCCUUUGAUACUGGCUGUCUUGAGUACGGGAGAGGUGAGUGGAACUCCGAGUGUAGAGGUGAAAUUCGGAGAUAUUCGGAAGAACACCAGUGGCGAAGGCGACUCACUGACCCGUUACUGACGCUGAGGCGCGAAAGCGUGGGGAGCAAACAGGAUUAGAAACCCUAGUAGUCC
Molecule: ribosomal RNA, 425 nt
Filed under: uncultured bacterium
Lineage: Bacteria
Description: partial 16S ribosomal RNA
Rfam family: Bacterial small subunit ribosomal RNA
Source: RNAcentral